AAUAUGAGGGAUUUUGAGUUUUUGUUUGUAGUGUUUGACCACUAGUCUUAUUUAAAAAAAAUUAGAAUUAUUAUUUACUUUUUUGUGACUUACUUUAUUAUCCAAAGUACUUUACGCACAACUUUUUAUUUUUUAUAUUUGCAUAAAUUUUUUUAAUAAGACGAGUGGUCAAACACUACAAACAAAAACUCAAAAUCCCUUAUA
Molecule: microRNA precursor, 204 nt
Filed under: Oryza rufipogon (brownbeard rice)
Lineage: Eukaryota; Viridiplantae; Streptophyta; Magnoliopsida; Poales; Poaceae
Description: MIR812 microRNA precursor family
Rfam family: MIR812 microRNA precursor family
Source: Rfam by way of RNAcentral